This 253-nucleotide ribosomal RNA is filed under the name uncultured bacterium. RNAcentral's name for it is "partial 16S ribosomal RNA". It matches the Rfam family "Bacterial small subunit ribosomal RNA", at positions 524 to 776 of the family's 1533-position model. The record is from RNAcentral.
UACGUAGGGUCCGAGCGUUGUCCGGAAUUACUGGGCGUAAAGAGCUCGUAGGCGGCUUGUCGCGUCGGAUGUGAAAGCCCGGGGCUUAACUCCGGGUCUGCAUUCGAUACGGGCAGGCUAGAGUUCGGUAGGGGAGAUCGGAAUUCCUGGUGUAGCGGUGAAAUGCGCAGAUAUCAGGAGGAACACCGGUGGCGAAGGCGGAUCUCUGGGCCGAUACUGACGCUGAGGAGCGAAAGCGUGGGGAGCGAACAGG